This 484-nucleotide ribosomal RNA is filed under the name uncultured bacterium. Its description in RNAcentral is "partial 16S ribosomal RNA". It matches the Rfam family "Bacterial small subunit ribosomal RNA", at positions 30 to 507 of the family's 1533-position model. The record is from RNAcentral.
AUUGAACGCUGGCGGCAGGCCUAACACAUGCAAGUCGAGCGGAUGAAGGGAGCUUGCUCCUGGAUUCAGCGGCGGACGGGUGAGUAAUGCCUAGGAAUCUGCCUGGUAGUGGGGGAUAACGUCCGGAAACGGGCGCUAAUACCGCAUACGGCCUGAGGGAGAAAGUGGGGGAUCUUCGGACCUCACGCUGUCAGAUGAGCCUAGGUCGGAUUAGCUAGUUGGUGGGGUAAAGGCCUACCAAGGCGACGAUCCGUAACUGGUCUGAGAGGAUGAUCAGUCACACUGGAACUGAGACACGGUCCAGACUCCUACGGGAGGCAGCAGUGGGGAAUAUUGGACAAUGGGCGAAAGCCUGAUCCAGCCAUGCCGCGUGUGUGAAGAAGGUCUUCGGAUUGUAAAGCACUUUAAGUUGGGAGGAAGGGCAGUAAGUUAAUACCUUGCUGUUUUGACGUUACCAACAGAAUAAGCACCGGCUAACUUCGUG